RNAcentral lists this transfer RNA (73 nucleotides) under Aspergillus niger. Its description in RNAcentral is "tRNA-Lys". Lineage: Eukaryota; Fungi; Ascomycota; Eurotiomycetes; Eurotiales; Aspergillaceae. The record is from RNAcentral.
GCCCGGCUAGCUCAAUCGGUAGAGCGUGAGACUCUUAAUCUCAAGGCUGCGGGUUCGAGCSCCGCGUUGGGCU